GAUGAACGCUGGCGGCGUGCCUAAUACAUGCAAGUCGAGCGAACGGACGAGAAGCUUGCUUCUCUGAUGUUAGCGGCGGAGGGGGGAGUAACACGUGGAUAACCUACCUAUAAGACUGGGAUAACUUCGGGAAAACGGAGCCAAUACCGGAUAAUAUUUUGAACCGCAUGGUUCAAAAGUGAAAGACGGUCUUGCUGUCACUUAUAGAUGGAUCCGCGCUGCAUUAGCUAGUUGGUAAGGUAACGGCUUACCAAGGCAACGAUGCAUAGCCGACCUGAGAGGGUGAUCGGCCACACUGGAACUGAGACACGGUCCAGACUCCUACGGGAGGCAGCAGUAGGGAAUCUUCCGCAAUGGGCGAAAGCCUGACGGAGCAACGCCGCGUGAGUGAUGAAGGUCUUCGGAUCGUAAAACUCUGUUAUUAGGGAAGAACAUAUGUGUAAUUAACUGUGCACAUCUUGACGGUACCUAAUCAGAAAGCCCCGGCUAACUACGUG
This 497-nucleotide ribosomal RNA is filed under the name uncultured bacterium. RNAcentral's name for it is "partial 16S ribosomal RNA". It matches the Rfam family "Bacterial small subunit ribosomal RNA", at positions 28 to 507 of the family's 1533-position model. The record is from RNAcentral.